CCGCUGGAAGCCGAGCUGGAACUUUGGAAAAGCUUCGUCAUCCGGGUGGAUGGACAAGAGAGACAGCUCCAGUGAGCAGCAAACAGCCGGCGAACUGGCUGACGAUACUCGAAAACUGCACCCGAACAAUGUUGCCUCUCUCAGUGGACGCGACACGCCGUGUUAGUUGAUUGUGAACGUUGCUGCUGGUUGGAACGUCGGCCACACUUUCGUUUCGAGAGUCGCUGGUGGACGCUUGUCAAUGUUUACAACUGAAAAGACGGGCUUCAGAUCAAAGGCCUGGUUAAAAAAACCCAAAUCAUUGCAAGAGACAAGGGAGCAUCAAUAAAGCAAAGAGUCAACAUAUUCACAAAAAUUGUCUAAUUUACCAUGACCGCUGGGCGA
Long non-coding RNA from Anopheles stephensi (Asian malaria mosquito), 384 nucleotides. RefSeq lists it as uncharacterized. The transcript has 3 exons. The record is from RefSeq and is a predicted model, not a curated record. NCBI's taxonomy places the organism in Eukaryota, Metazoa, Arthropoda, Insecta, Diptera, Culicidae.